ACGGGCGAGUAACGCGUGGGAAUCUACCCUUUUCUACGGAAUAACGCAGGGAAACUUGUGCUAAUACCGUAUGUGUCCUUCGGGAGAAAGAUUUAUCGGGAAAGGAUGAGCCCGCGUUGGAUUAGCUAGUUGGUGGGGUAAAGGCCUACCAAGGCGACGAUCCAUAGCUGGUCUGAGAGGAUGAUCAGCCACAUUGGGACUGAGACACGGCCCAAACUCCUACGGGAGGCAGCAGUGGGGAAUAUUGGACAAUGGGCGCAAGCCUGAUCCAGCCAUGCCGCGUGAGUGAUGAAGGCCCUAGGGUUGUAAAGCUCUUUCACCGGAGAAGAUAAUGACGGUAUCCGGAGAAGAAGCCCCGGCUAACUUCGUGCCAGCAGCCGCGGUAAUACGAAGGGGGCUAGCGUUGUUCGGAAUUACUGGGCGUAAAGCGCACGUAGGCGGAUCGAUCAGUCAGGGGUGAAAUCCCAGGGCUCAACCCUGGAACUGCCUUUGAUACUGUCGAUCUGGAGUAUGGAAGAGGUGAGUGGAAUUCCGAGU
RNAcentral lists this ribosomal RNA (537 nucleotides) under uncultured bacterium. Its description in RNAcentral is "bacterial SSU rRNA". It matches the Rfam family "Bacterial small subunit ribosomal RNA", at positions 102 to 674 of the family's 1533-position model. The record is from RNAcentral.